RNAcentral lists this ribosomal RNA (510 nucleotides) under Triticum aestivum (bread wheat). Its description in RNAcentral is "partial small subunit ribosomal RNA". The record is from RNAcentral. Lineage: Eukaryota; Viridiplantae; Streptophyta; Magnoliopsida; Poales; Poaceae.
AUGUCCGCAUCGUCGUGUUCCUCCCUUCCCGUGCGAACAGACUUUCUCCUUCCUUUAAUCUCCCGUCCAUUCUGCUGGAGACGAACGUCGCCACGACAGGCGACAAGUCGGGGCAUCGUUUCUACAAAUGCCAUGGAUCCUACAGGUACGGCAGUGCCAUCCAGCAGGCGUACUUCAGAAAGGCUCAAUCCGCAACAGGUUGCCCGUGCUUACCAGCAGUCUGGCGUGCACCAAGCCAUGCAGGUGCUCGCUGCUCCAAUUCUGCACCAUGCGCAGCAGGGCAACCAUGCUGGGCAGUUAGCUCCUCUUAAGCAGCAGCAGAUCCAGACACCACCGCCGACGCAGUUUGAGCUCCUCAACAAACUCCGCAGACCGGUAGCUGCCGUCGCCGCUGCAUUUGGGUCCCAAGCGCUCGGCCUAGUAGCUAUUCUGCUUGCAGCCAAUAACAUCAUGCUAACUGUGCUUGUUUUGCUUUUCCUUGUCCCAGUGUACUUUGCUUCGUCCAAUUAG